GACUGAACUUUGUAGCAAGCACAUUCAUACCCUUUUCUCUCCACGAACUGUCCUGGAAACCAUUGUGGUGCUUCGCCAGAUAAGCACCCAUUGCCAUCAUGUGUCAUGUCAAGUCAUUUCAGUUUGUGAAACCAGAUAUAAACAGUGGAUAAACAAGUCACUGAGAUCUCGCCAACGACUUACCUUUCUGCGCAUGAGAAGAAGUAUCAAAUUUCUGUCCCCAGUUUUGCAACUCGUUUUAAUCUUGAUUACCCUGGAGCUAGGGAACAUUCAUAUGAUUUGCAGAAAAAAUACUUUUGAAUGUCAGAAGUACUUAAAGUUUCUCAGACUGAUUUUGCAGUAUAUUGAGAACUUGGUGACUUAUACAAGUCCAGAAAAAAAUAAAUGGGAUGAAACCAUAGAGCUUACACACAAAUCAUUGAUAAAAAUCAGAACCUUUCUAGGAAGAGAACUGAUGCUUGUACAGCUAGCUGAAACAAAGAAUGUAGUUAGUCCUUGUCAAAAUUCUAUAGGUUUAACUUAAACAGGCAGUUAUCAUUUCUCCCCAGUUUAUACAGAUCAAAAAACUAUGUGCAUAUAUUCUCCAAUGCAGUGGUGUGUAGAUGUGAGUAUGAAAGAUUUUCUGAGCAAAAAAAAAUAUAUGGCAAAGCCACUGUUAUCUGUUGAAUAUGGGUGGAUGGGUAUAUCGGACGAUGGAUUAAUGGAUGGAUCAAUGGAUAAAUGAAUGGGUUUGAUCACAUUAGUAAGAUCAGUAUUAUUGCUGCUAUAAAUAUAUUUUUAUUUUUUUACUAAAGUGCAUUAUAUACGUUACCAUAAAAAUGUUUCAGUAAAAUA
Protobothrops mucrosquamatus (brown spotted pit viper) is the source of this 834-nucleotide long non-coding RNA. RefSeq lists it as uncharacterized. The record is from RefSeq and is a predicted model, not a curated record. The transcript has 3 exons. NCBI's taxonomy places the organism in Eukaryota, Metazoa, Chordata, Lepidosauria, Squamata, Viperidae.